This 416-nucleotide ribosomal RNA is filed under the name uncultured bacterium. Its description in RNAcentral is "bacterial SSU rRNA". It matches the Rfam family "Bacterial small subunit ribosomal RNA", at positions 28 to 433 of the family's 1533-position model. The record is from RNAcentral.
GACGAACGCUGGCGGCGUGCCUAAUACAUGCAAGUCGAGCGGACCAAAGGGAGCUUGCUCCUGGAGGUUAGCGGCGAACGGGUGAGUAACAUGUGGGCAACCUGCCUGUAAGACUGGGAUAACAUCGAGAAAUCGGUGCUAAUACCGGAUAAUAAAAAGAACUGCAUGGUUCUUUUUGAAAGAUGGUUUCGGCUAUCACUUACAGAUGGGCCCGCGGCGCAUUAGCUAGUUGGUGAGGUAACGGCUCACCAAGGCGACGAUGCGUAGCCGACCUGAGAGGGUGAUCGGCCACACUGGGACUGAGACACGGCCCAGACUCCUACGGGAGGCAGUCAGUAGGGAAGUCUUCCGCAAUGGACGAAAGUCUGACGGAGCAACGCCGCGUGAGUGAUGAAGGUUUUCGGAUCGUAAAACUC